UACGUAGGAGACGAGCGUUGUCCGGAGUUACUGGGCGUAAAGGGUGCGCAGGUGGCUGUGCGCGUGGGGGGUGAAAUCUCCUGGCUCAACUGGGAGGGUGGUCGCGAGACGGCUGGGCUUGAGGCUCGGUGAGGGGCGUGGAAUUCCGGGUGGAGCGGUGAAAUGCGUAGAGAUCCGGAGGAACACCGACGGCGUAGGCAGCGCCCUAGACGAGACCUGACGCUCAGGCACGAAAGCGCGGGGAGCGAACAGG
Molecule: ribosomal RNA, 253 nt
Filed under: uncultured bacterium
Lineage: Bacteria
Description: partial 16S ribosomal RNA
Rfam family: Bacterial small subunit ribosomal RNA
Source: RNAcentral